AGAGUCGGAGCGGAGCUCCUCUCGGACAACAUCUCCAGGACUCUACCCUCCAUUUGACUAACGUGCAGAGAGGAGAUACAAACGCUCAUUGCCUCGCCGAUCCCUCUGUCUGACAUCCUGUCUCUGGUGAGCGCUGGGUCUUGGGCAGCGUCCACAGCCUUUCUGGGUCUGCACUACUCUGCCGAAUCUGGAUUAACCCAGCGACUUGUUUGCCAUUUUUGGUUAUUUUUUAUAUUGCUUUGUUUUUGUUUUUUCCCCUGAGAUAAUAAAAUCUCCGUUACUCCAA
Molecule: long non-coding RNA, 286 nt
Organism: Cyprinus carpio (common carp)
Lineage: Eukaryota; Metazoa; Chordata; Actinopteri; Cypriniformes; Cyprinidae
Exons: 2
Source: RefSeq, a predicted model, not a curated record